This 327-nucleotide ribosomal RNA is filed under the name uncultured eukaryote. RNAcentral's name for it is "partial 18S ribosomal RNA". It matches the Rfam family "Eukaryotic small subunit ribosomal RNA", at positions 1470 to 1796 of the family's 1831-position model. The record is from RNAcentral.
CCCUUAGAUGUUCUGGGCCGCACACGCGCUACACUGAAGGAGGCAGCGUGUACUCCUGGAUCGAAAGAUUUGGGUAACCCGCGAAUCUCCUUCGUGCUAGGGAUUGAGGUUUGCAAUUAUCCUUCAUGACCGAGGAAUUCCCAGUAAGUGCAAGUCAUAAGCUUGCGCUGACUACGUCCCUGCCCUUUGUACACACCGCCCGUCGCUACUACCGAUUGAAUGAUUUAGUGAGGACUUCGGACUGGGACCGAUGCGGCUUUCGGGCUGCGUCGGUAUUCUGGAAAGAUGUCCAAACUGUAUCAUUUAGAGGAAGUAAAAGUCGUAACA